Cucumis melo (muskmelon) is the source of this 1815-nucleotide long non-coding RNA. RefSeq lists it as uncharacterized. The record is from RefSeq and is a predicted model, not a curated record. The transcript has 3 exons. NCBI's taxonomy places the organism in Eukaryota, Viridiplantae, Streptophyta, Magnoliopsida, Cucurbitales, Cucurbitaceae.
UAUUUUUUAACCUAAUUUCAAACCCCUUCACCGCGUGCUGCACAGCAAGCCCCCUAGUUUUUCUUCUUCUUUCUUCCUUCUCCCGACAGCCAUCGCCCGCUACACUCCAGCCCGUCUUCUCUUCUUCUUCUCCGCCCAGUCGCCGCCAGCCGUUGCAUCAACCUCUGUUAGCAAGCUCCGUUGUCGUCGUCAUCAUCUCUUCGUUCGUAGCAGCACAUCUCCGACUCUUUCUCUCUCUCUCUAUCCGUUUCACACGUUUGGUCGACCGCUGGCCAAGCUUACCUCGUCGGACCAGUAGAUCUGUGACCCGAUCGAUCUCUAUUGCAAAGUCCGGCAGUCGCGCGUAGUGCAGCAAGGUUGCGUCGCUUCCUUGUCGCCGACCACCUCAAUCUCCCUCUUUUCGUCGCCCGCUGCAGCCUCACAAGAAUACAACCGUCAUUCUUCUUCAAGUCGAGUCGAGUCAUGAGCCAAGUCGAGCCGCGAGCCUAGCUGAGCCACAAACCAAGCCGAGUCGAGUCGACCCAACCCGAGUCGAGCUGCCUCCCAAGCCAAAGACAAUUUACCAAGUCGAUCUCCCUAUUCACCGAGCCACUUAAGCCGUUUCCCUCCACGUUGAGUCACAGUGAGUCUUUGGUGUUAGAGAGGUGACGCUCGAAUUCUUUGGUUUUACGGCAAGUGUAGUUUGGAGUCAACUCUCCUCUACUUGGGUGGAUUCGUUUUGAACAUUGACUUGAACACGGAUUGUAGCUAAAUCUCAGGUAAGAGGUUUCUUCCUAUUAGACCCCAAACCGAGACAGGAAACAUAGCAACUCUUAUGAAGAUUUUACAAUAGCGACUCUACUGAAUUAAUUGAUACAUGUAUGCCUAGAAAACAUCAUUAGUAUGCACUAUUGACUGGUUAAAGGUGACAUGAUUGUUAGUUGUAGCUUAUAUAUAUGUGUGUGUGUGAAUGGGUCGUUCCGUUGAUGAGGCUUGGAUGCUUAAAAUGUUAUGCGUAGUUUGUAUAUAUGUGAAUAGGUUGUUCUGCUGAUAGAGUACGGAUGCCCGGAUGCCCGAAUGUUCUGUGUAAUAUAGUUAUAUGGAUGGACUGUGCUGUUAGCUGAAAUAGUGAGGUCGAUGGAAUAAGAAAAUCUUGAUGUUAUGUAUAACUGAAUUAUGUUGUUGGGUUGCAUAUUAUUGAGUUAUGUUGUUGAUGGACUAAGGGUUCGGGAACUCAUGUGUAGGUUGUGUAUUUGCUGAUGGGUUGUGCUGUAGACUGAAUAUGGACGUUAUACAUAACAUAGAGUACAUAUAGUUGUGCUAUGGUUUGGAGUGAGAUGAAGUGAUUAUCAGGUGAACUUACAAAAUAAUGAUUUAACUCAGUGACUAGAUCUCAGUAAUAUAACAGUAUUAUGUGGAUUGGAUAUAUGUAUAGUGACAGAUGAGACUAUUGGCUAAACCUAAACUGUCUGACUGACUAAACUUAUAAACUGAACUGUUAGCUUGAACGAUAUUGUGAUAUGACUGUUGUAGACGGUUUAAUAUGGAAUGAGGGGUAACAGUUAGCUUUAUCUAUGGGGUAGUGUACCUUAACAAGCACGGUGUCCUUCGGGAUUCCUCAUCUGAUAUGUGCAUCCUUUGGGAUCACUAGACUGAUAGUGUAUCCUUCGGGAUCACUAGACUGAUAAGUGUAUCCGACAGAAUCACUAGACUGAUUGAUGUGUGCAUUCUACGGAAUCACUAGACUGUUUCAUGUAGGGUACCCCUUAAUAGGAAGCUAACUGUUAUUACCCGAACGAGCCCAGUAGUGGAUCCCUUACCAAGUAUAUUUUUGUA